RNAcentral lists this ribosomal RNA (250 nucleotides) under uncultured bacterium. Its description in RNAcentral is "partial 16S ribosomal RNA". It matches the Rfam family "Bacterial small subunit ribosomal RNA", at positions 524 to 773 of the family's 1533-position model. The record is from RNAcentral.
UACGAAGGGUGCGAGCGUUAUUCGGAUUUAUUGGGCGUAAAGGGUUCGUAGGCGGGAGGAUAAGUUAAGUGUGAAAUAUCUGGGCUUAACCCAGAAAGUGCAUUUAAAACUGUUUUUCUUGAGUGCUAAAGAGGGUGGUGGAAUUGCUGGUGUAGGAGUGACAUCCGUAGAGAUCAGCAGGAACAUCGGAGGCGAAGGCGGCCACCUGGUUAGUUACUGACGCUGAGGAACGAAAGCAUGGGGAGCAAAC